RNAcentral lists this ribosomal RNA (364 nucleotides) under uncultured bacterium. Its description in RNAcentral is "bacterial SSU rRNA". It matches the Rfam family "Bacterial small subunit ribosomal RNA", at positions 72 to 423 of the family's 1533-position model. The record is from RNAcentral.
AAGUCUUGCAAGGGAUCAGUAGAGUGGCAAACGGGUGAGUAACGCGUGGGCGACCUACCUUCGAGUGGGGGAUAACCUUCCGAAAGGAGGGCUAAUACCGCAUGACAGCCCAUGUUAGGAUACAUGGGACUCAAAGCCGGGGAUCGCAAGACCUGGCGCUUGGAGAGGGGCCCGCGUCCGAUUAGCUAGUUGGUGAGGUUACGGCUCACCAAGGCUCCGAUCGGUAUCCGGCCUGAGAGGGCGGACGGACACACUGGGACUGAGACACGGCCCAGACUCCUACGGGAGGCAGCAGUGGGGAAUUUUGGGCAAUGGGCGCAAGCCUGACCCAGCAACGCCGCGUGAAGGACGAAAUCCCUCUGGG